AUGCCCUAAGUGAUGAACUCAAUAUCUAAGCUAUGGAUUUAUCUCCAAAUGAAGCUUAUUGUCAUAGUUACUCUGAUGGGCAUU
This 84-nucleotide small nucleolar RNA is filed under the name Oryza sativa (Asian cultivated rice). RNAcentral's name for it is "Z153c small nucleolar RNA". Lineage: Eukaryota; Viridiplantae; Streptophyta; Magnoliopsida; Poales; Poaceae. The record is from RNAcentral.